GCACUGGUGGUCAGCGGUAGAACUCUCACCUUCUACGUGGGGACCCAGGUUCGAUUCCCGGCCAGUGCA
This 69-nucleotide transfer RNA is filed under the name Loxodonta africana (African savanna elephant). It matches the Rfam family "tRNA". Rfam says of the family: Transfer RNA (tRNA) molecules are approximately 80 nucleotides in length. Their secondary structure includes four short double-helical elements and three loops (D, anti-codon, and T loops). The record is from Rfam by way of RNAcentral. Lineage: Eukaryota; Metazoa; Chordata; Mammalia; Proboscidea; Elephantidae.